AACCCUCGCUGUGUGUUACAAGUGUCACACGGAACUGCCGGUCAUAAGCCGGAGGAAGUGGGGAUGACGUCAAGUCAGCAUGGCCUUUAUAUCCUGGGCUACACACACGCUACAAUGGGAAGGGACAAUAGGUUGCGAAGCCGCGAGGCGGAGCCAAUCCAGCAAAACUUCCCUCAGUUCAGAUUGCAGGCUGCAACCCGCCUGCAUGAAGUUGGAGUUGCUAGUAAACGCAGGUCAGCCAUACUGCGUUGAAUACGUUCCCGGGGCUU
Molecule: ribosomal RNA, 269 nt
Filed under: uncultured Anaerolineaceae bacterium
Lineage: Bacteria; Bacillati; Chloroflexota; Anaerolineae; Anaerolineales; Anaerolineaceae
Description: partial 16S ribosomal RNA
Rfam family: Bacterial small subunit ribosomal RNA
Source: RNAcentral